ACACAUUCUCCCAGACUGGAACAUACUGUCGUGUGUUGAACCUUCGGUGUGCUCUGAAUUUCGCUCACAUUGUCAAAUAACGGCCUGCUAAACCUUCAGCUUAAGAGUGAUGUCCUUGAGACAGUGGUGUUAUUGAACCGUUCUGAGGUGCUGCUUUAGAGAUCGGAUCUGUGAUCAACGACUGGAUUCAGGUGACUGGUGCUGAGGGGUUUGAGCUCAAGCAGGGGACGCAACCUGUCGGUGCAGGGUGGUGCCCUCACCUGGAAAGACUUCUCUGAGUUUGUGUCUCUACCGCAAGUGAUCAAGAUCCUUUGGUGUCAAUCUUCAGGGCAGCUUCCAAGACUUACUGUGUCCAGUCAGG
Molecule: long non-coding RNA, 361 nt
Organism: Gadus chalcogrammus (walleye pollock)
Lineage: Eukaryota; Metazoa; Chordata; Actinopteri; Gadiformes; Gadidae
Exons: 4
Source: RefSeq, a predicted model, not a curated record